ACCUCAGGGAAUCAAGCCAACAAAGACACACUCCUCUGAUCACAUGCAUCAUCUACAUGUUCCAGAAGCCUGAGAUCACUUAUGGGAAACUGAUGUCAGACCUUUGGCUCCAAGUUUAAGGUAUUGUUUUGGCCAUAAAAUGUAAUAUAACAGUCAAACAAAUGUGGAUCACCGAUGUCCUAACUUGCAGGCAUGAAAUUAAAUUAAGGUUCCAUCUUCAUGAACCUGUAAUUUAUUUCUGAGCCAAGAAAGAGUAUUAUUAUUUACAUAUAUUACAUAUAGUUUAUAUUCAUUUUGUCAUUGUCAUUGUUGUCAAGAAACAAUCUGUGUGCAGUUUUAUAUCUUGAUAUUAUCAGGAUAUAAAACUGCACACAAUAUCUCAAUAUAUUAUAUAUAAGACACACUGCCCAUUGAGUUUUUGGGCAAUGUUUGUUUUUAAUAGUUUGAGAAUUUAUUCACAACCUUUUUUAACACCAAAUCUUUGGUCAAGUGACAUCAUGUGACCCUCAGGCAAAAGGAGUGUCUUCUAUUUCCAUGAUUAUUUGUUCAGCACAUAAAGGCAUCUGUGUGUCAAAGUAGAUCAGGCUGUUUUACCGGUUGAAACGGAGUCUUUCAUUGCCGUCGUACAUCUGAAGUCUGAUUGGUCGACGUAGACCCCAAUGGAUGUUCAGCAGCCCCUCGAGGACAAGCCCUCCAUUAUCCUAGACACACACAGAAACACACACAUGUAACAACAAUCACCAGUGGGUACAGUCAGAGGGGAUAUCCUGCUGGCCACCCGCCAUAACGGCUCAGUAUCAGGUGUACGUGCAGGAGCGGUCGCUCACAGCUGCACGGUGACCCCUCUCAUCUUGGACAAAACCUGUAAGGUUUGUUCCUCCCUUCUUUACACAGUACAAGGAUGAAGUCACGUCUGAGGAGUCAGCAACAGAGCCAAGUAUGCUUUGGGUCACGUACACAAGCGAGAACUAUUUCGUUUUCAUAAAACUGAAACUCUAAAAUUAGAAAAAUGAUGGUGUCACCACUGUGUUCUGUGAGAUCAGAACACAGACCUUUCCCCUGUUUGAGAUUAAAUGUAAAACCAUAACUAAAAAAUGUCGUCAGCAUGAGGUCAGACAAAAGGUUAAAGUUUUAUGUGCAUGUAUCAUAACAUGAGCUGGCAAUAAAUCCGACACAUGCACCACAA
Solea senegalensis (Senegalese sole) is the source of this 1186-nucleotide long non-coding RNA. RefSeq lists it as uncharacterized. Lineage: Eukaryota; Metazoa; Chordata; Actinopteri; Pleuronectiformes; Soleidae. The transcript has 2 exons. The record is from RefSeq and is a predicted model, not a curated record.